GAUGAACGCUGGCGGCGUGCCUAAUACAUGCAAGUCGAGCGAACGGACGAGAAGCUUGCUUUUCUGAUGUUAGCGGCGGACGGGUGAGUAACACGUGGAUAACCUACCUAUAAGACUGGGAUAACUUCGGGAAACCGGAGCUAAUACCGGAUAAUAUUUUGAACCGCAUGGUUCAAAAGUGAAAGACGGUCUUGCUGUCACUUAUAGAUGGAUCCGCGCUGCAUUAGCUAGUUGGUAAGGUAACGGCUUACCAAGGCAACGAUGCAUAGCCGACCUGAGAGGGUGAUCGGCCACACUGGAACUGAGACACGGUCCAGACUCCUACGGGAGGCAGCAGUAGGGAAUCUUCCGCAAUGGGCGAAAGCCUGACGGAGCAAGGCCGCGUGAGUGAUGAAGGUCUUCGGAUCGUAAAACUCUGUUAUUAGGGAAGAACAUAUGUGUAAGUAACUGUGCACAUCUUGACGGUACCUAAUCAGAAAGCCACGGCUAACUACGUG
Molecule: ribosomal RNA, 497 nt
Filed under: uncultured bacterium
Lineage: Bacteria
Description: partial 16S ribosomal RNA
Rfam family: Bacterial small subunit ribosomal RNA
Source: RNAcentral